GAGGCAGCAGUGGGGAAUAUUGCACAAUGGGCGCAAGCCUGAUGCAGCGACGCCGCGUGGGGGAUGACGGCCUUCGGGUUGUAAACUCCUUUCGCUAGGGACGAAGCGCAAGUGACGGUACCUAGAGAAGAAGCACCGGCUAACUACGUGCCAGCAGCCGCGGUAAUACGUAGGGUGCGAGCGUUGUCCGGAAUUACUGGGCGUAAAGAGCUCGUAGGUGGUUUGUCGCGUCGUUUGUGUAAGCCCGCAGCUUAACUGCGGGACUGCAGGCGAUACGGGCAUAACUUGAGUGCUGUAGGGGAGACUGGAAUUCCUGGUGUAGCGGUGGAAUGCGCAGAUAUCAGGAGGAACACCGAUGGCGAAGGCAGGUCUCUGGGCAGUAACUGACGCUGAGGAGCGAAAGCAUGGGGAGCGAACAGGAUUAGAUACCCUGGUAGUCCAUGCCGUAAACGGUGGGCGCUAGGUGUGAGUCCCUUCCACGGGGUUCGUGCCGUAGCUAACGCAUUAAGCGCCCCGCCUGGGGAGUACGGCCGCAAGGCUAAAACUCAAAGGAAUUGACGGGGGCCCGCACAAGCGGCGGAGCAUGUGGAUUAAUUCGAUGCAACGCGAAGAACCUUACCUGGGCUUGACAUACACCAGA
Molecule: ribosomal RNA, 640 nt
Filed under: Corynebacterium sp. HMSC034B08
Lineage: Bacteria; Bacillati; Actinomycetota; Actinomycetes; Mycobacteriales; Corynebacteriaceae
Description: bacterial SSU rRNA
Rfam family: Bacterial small subunit ribosomal RNA
Source: RNAcentral